This 467-nucleotide ribosomal RNA is filed under the name uncultured bacterium. RNAcentral's name for it is "partial 16S ribosomal RNA". It matches the Rfam family "Bacterial small subunit ribosomal RNA", at positions 28 to 507 of the family's 1533-position model. The record is from RNAcentral.
GACGAACGCUGGCGGCGUGCUUAACACAUGCAAGUCGAACGGAAAGGCCCUGCUUUUGUGGGGUGCUCGAGUGGCGAACGGGUGAGUAACACGUGAGUAACCUGCCCUUGACUUUGGGAUAACUUCAGGAAACUGGGGCUAAUACCGGAUAGGAGCUCCUGCUGCAUGGUGGGGGUUGAAAGUUUCGGCGGUUGGGGAUGGACUCGCGGCUUAUCAGCUUGUUGGUGGGGUAGUGGCUUACCAAGGCUUUGACGGGUAGCCGGCCUGAGAGGGUGACCGGCUACAUUGGGACUGAGAUACGGCCCAGACUCCUACGGGAGGCAGCAGUGGGGAAUAUUGCACAAUGGGCGGAAGCCUGAUGCAGCAACGCCGCGUGCGGGAUGACGGCCUUCGGGUUGUAAACCGCUUUCGCCUGUGACGAAGCGUGAGUGACGGUAAUGGGUAAAGAAGCACCGGCUAACUACGUG